Molecule: small nucleolar RNA, 122 nt
Organism: Phodopus roborovskii (desert hamster)
Lineage: Eukaryota; Metazoa; Chordata; Mammalia; Rodentia; Cricetidae
Product: small nucleolar RNA SNORA40
Exons: 1
Source: RefSeq, a predicted model, not a curated record
AGCACCUGUGUUUUUGUUGUACUGGUGGACAAAGAUAUAAAAGACAGGUGAAAACAAAACCCCUUUUGCAACCUAGAAUUCAUGGUUCAUUUUGAGUUUUGAUACAUAUAAGACAUGAUACU